CCCUUAGAUGUUCUGGGCCGCACGCGCGCUACACUGACGAAUGCAACGAGCUUAUAACCUUGGCCGAAAGGUCUGGGUAAUCUCCAAAUUUCGUCGUGAUGGGGAUAGAUUAUUGCAAUUAUUAAUCUUCAACGAGGAAUGCCUAGUAAGCGCAAGUCAUCAGCUUGCGUUGAUUACGUCCCUGCUCUUUGUACACACCGCCCGUCGCUCCUACCGAUUGAAUGGUCCGGUGAAGCGUUCGGACCGUGGCCUUUGGACGGUUCGCCGUCUGUUGGCUGCGGGAAGUUCGUUAAACCUUAUCAUUUAGAGGAAGGAGAAGUCGUAACA
RNAcentral lists this ribosomal RNA (327 nucleotides) under uncultured eukaryote. RNAcentral's name for it is "partial 18S ribosomal RNA". It matches the Rfam family "Eukaryotic small subunit ribosomal RNA", at positions 1470 to 1796 of the family's 1831-position model. The record is from RNAcentral.